RNAcentral lists this long non-coding RNA (1490 nucleotides) under Anser brachyrhynchus (Pink-footed goose). RNAcentral describes it as "lncRNA (ENSABRG00000007405.1)". Lineage: Eukaryota; Metazoa; Chordata; Aves; Anseriformes; Anatidae. The record is from RNAcentral.
AGAGAUUUCAGCGGUGCGUUAAUGUUGAGACUAGCACGUCGGGUGUUCUUCUUGGCAGGGCAUCCUGGAAGGCUCCCCUAAUUGUUGCCUUCUCUUUUUUUGCUUCCAGAGUGAACUGCUGGAAACCUUGGGCCAUCCUGCCUCUGCCCCACUCCCGACCUGCUUCUGCCCAGCAGUGUGACUGGGAAGGGCCAGUCACUACUGGGAAGGACAGCAGAGCUCUUCUGGCUGCUUGGAGCAAGGUGAAGGAUCUCAGAGAAGGUGCAGGCAUAAUCUGUGCUUUGUUAGCACAGCCACCAAGGACCUAAUUUGAAAGAGGCUGCAGUUCAGCGGCAGGAGGGAUUUAAACACUGUUAAGACUGACAUUUUCCCUCAUCUUACAUCCCGUGGGGUACCUGAUUGCAAAUUUAUAAUACACCAGAGGUCUCGCCAUCAGAAGAUACAGACUUACAGUAACAGCGACUAAUUUAAAAAAGAUCUCCAGCGCAUCAGUGUCUGGGGCUGGUUUACACAGACUAAUUAAUCCUUAUUUGACCUGAAUUAACUCUUAAUCUGUGUGAAAUGAAAGAGCUUUACUGGGAUACAGCAAAUUUUAAAAGAUGGAAAAUCCAUUCAGAACAGGAGGUUUCUGCAGCUGGGUGACUCGUGGAUUAAAAUACUUGCUGGCUGCUGGUGUGGAAAAUUAGCUCGCUCUUUUUCCUUUUUCCUUUUUCCUUUUUCCUUUUUCCUUUUUCCUUUUUCCUUUUUCCUUUUUCCUUUUUCCUUUUUCCUUUUUCCUUUUUCCUUUNNNNNNNNNNNNNNNNNNNNNNNNNNNNNNNNNNNUUCCUUUUUCCUUUUUCCUUUUUCCUUUUUCCUUUUUCCUUUUUCCUUUUUCCUUUUUCCUUUUUCCUUUUUCCUUUUUCCUUUUUCCUUUUUCCCUAUUUCCACCCCUCUUUUACUAACCAGCAAAUACAUGAAAGGGGCAGAAGACUUUUUGCCACCAGCUGUUGUCCCUUGGACGAGAGCCCUGGCCUUGCAAUUCACUCAGCAGUUGUGCUCCAGACGUGUGUGCACCUUUGCAAGGGGGAGAGGAAAGGGACGUUGUCAACACCUGUGUCAGCACAACAUCAAAUCAGAUUACAACAGACACUAAAAGCCAUAACCUGAGCAGAAUAACUCUCUUCUGGGCACAUCUGUGAGCAGCAUCGAUGCUCUCAAAAUAUUUCGCUGGUGCAGCAUCACCUGCUUAAUGACAGGGUGUUUUACAAGCCUCUAAACUCCCCUGUGUAUUCAAGCUUCCUGCAUGAAGGCCAGGCUGGGCACUAGUGAGUUUCAGCCAUUGCAUUUCUGCAGACCUUUUGCACUGCACAAAGCUUGUGUGGGCUCUUGGUGCUGCUGCUCUUUGCUCCGUUGGGUGAUGCCCUGCUCUGCAGCCCCACUGGGCCAUCGCAGAGAUGAAUAACAGCUGUUUGCUCGGGUGGUAGAAAAGGAGGAAUCACUCAGGGUGGGAU